Molecule: long non-coding RNA, 69 nt
Filed under: Neogale vison (American mink)
Lineage: Eukaryota; Metazoa; Chordata; Mammalia; Carnivora; Mustelidae
Description: Neovison vison (American mink) HOTAIR conserved region 2 (ENSNVIG00000002239.1)
Rfam family: HOTAIR conserved region 2
Source: RNAcentral
GAGAUAGACACGCGUGGCCAGAUCGCUGGUCUUGUUAACAAGCCUCGUCAUAAAGAUGGAGAAGAUAAG